GGUCCCAUCGUCUAGUGGUUAGGACACCAGGUUUUCAUCCUGGGAACAGGGGUCCAAUUCCCCUUGGGACUACAA
RNAcentral lists this transfer RNA (75 nucleotides) under Candidatus Magasanikbacteria bacterium CG_4_10_14_0_8_um_filter_32_14. Its description in RNAcentral is "tRNA-Glu". It matches the Rfam family "tRNA". From Rfam's summary of the family: Transfer RNA (tRNA) molecules are approximately 80 nucleotides in length. Their secondary structure includes four short double-helical elements and three loops (D, anti-codon, and T loops). The record is from RNAcentral. Lineage: Bacteria; Candidatus Magasanikiibacteriota.